Long non-coding RNA from Hemicordylus capensis (graceful crag lizard), 322 nucleotides. RefSeq lists it as uncharacterized. The record is from RefSeq and is a predicted model, not a curated record. Lineage: Eukaryota; Metazoa; Chordata; Lepidosauria; Squamata; Cordylidae. The transcript has 3 exons.
UGAAGCCUGAACUCGAGUAGGCCCCAAGCAAGGAAGGAAGGAGGCUGGCAGAGCUCCCUGCAGCAGACCCUCAGACCAUCCAGCACAGCUUUUGCAGCCUGAGCCAUCAUGAAUCAUCAAUACAUGAUAAUACCUGAGCAGCUUGUGGUGUGUGCAGAAUUAAGUGCUCCAAAACAAGCUCGACUCAGAGGCGCAGGAGAGGCGUGCUUUUCACCAAGAUGAACGUAGGCCAGAAAGGAAGUACCUUUUGAGAGGCCUCAUUCAGGCAAUGGACCAAGACUGAGAUAAAGCACCAUGUUGGCAGAGAGAAGCAGGAUUGGAG